AUAUGUUUUGGACUUUGGAGAUUAUUGAGCUGAAUUGUUCAUUUAUGAACUUUGUUUCAGGAGUUAUAUCCCGCACUCAGGAUUCAAUUAAGCCCUUGCUUCAUCAGUUUGUCUUGCAGGUCUCAGUUUGCCACAUUACCUUUUGAGUCCAAUGCGUUUUUGUGGUAUUUUUUAUAAGGUUUUUGCUAAAGCUAUGUCUUGGAUUACAUUAGGUCCACUUCUUGUGAAAGCAAGUAUUGAAUUGACAACCGGUUGGACCAAAUGAAACCACAUACAGUAAAUAGGCAACACGUAUGGAAGAGUAUCACGCUCAGUAGGUAUUUUGUCAAAACUUGAUUUUUAGAUGUUAUUCAUUCAUUCAUCUUCACAUGAAGUUCUUGUAAUGUCCACGAGUACAAAUCACCUAAAGCCAACUAUAUGCAGAGAACUGAAAGAACAUGCUCCAAUGCAUUUCAGUAUAUUUUUGCAAUACACUUUCAUGGGGAACGAUAAAGGUGGGUAGAGGAGAGAUGAAAACCACACACACACACAUUAUACAAGGGUUGCUUGAUCAACACAAAUUUAUCUUUAUAUAUCAUAGACAUUCAGAGUUAACCCCAAACUUCUUUUAUUGCAAAUGAGAUCUUCCUCUAUUUUUAUGAGUCACUUAAUAGCGCUUCAUUUUGACAAUUUCUGAUGCCUUCUCAGACCCCCCCCCCCCCCCAACACACACACAGGCACUUUGAUUACCGCCCAUUUUGCCACAUCAGCAACCAUAGGUAGUUUGAUUUUGGUUCAUAGAUCUCUACUUAAGAGAUAGACGGUUCAGAUUAUUUCUUCCUCUUCCCUUUUGUCUUCUUUAGUUUAUCUUCAUCUACCUUACCCCCACCACCACCUUCACUGCACCACAUCAUUACAGCCACCACCUCGCCUAGACCCAUAUCAACACCUUUAUCCAUCACCUCACUAACACCCCACCACCAUUUAAUGAAGUGUUACUAGUGUGGGUGGUGGAGUUGAUGGUGAUGGUGAUGGUGUGAUAGUGGUAGGUGGUACGGUAGAGGUGGUGAUGGGCUGUUAGUAAUAUUAUGCUGGUGUGGUGGACGUAAUAAAGGUGAACGUUGGUUUUAAUGGUGAGUAGAAGAUAAAGAAUGAAGAAGAUGAGAGGGGAGAGGAAGAUACGAUCUGGACCGCCUAAUUUAAGUUUCUGAGAUUCCACAUACCAAAAUGAAACCACCUAUGCUGAUGUGCCACGAAUGGUGGUUUUAAAAGAUGGGGAAUCCUUUAAAAGGUAAUUUGGUUAGAAAAUUUCAAAAUAAAAGUAAAGGUAUAAUCCCAUUCUGGAAAAAAGUGGAUCGGUACAUUUAUGCAUGUUUAUGUUCAUUUAUAGGUAGUAUGUAAUCUGACGACUAUGGUCCCAUGAACAUAUAUAUGGGUUCAUGCACUCAAGAAAUAAACGUAAAUUUUUUUAGAAUAACCGAUGAAUGGCUGUAAAGAUAUACUGUAGAUAAAGUCAAAAAAAAGAGUUCAUAAUCUUUUUAUUAACCUAAAUAAGCGAAUUUGCUUGUGAUCCCAAAAGCAAUACUAAAAAAGAUCUAAACCAUAGUCAUAUUCGAUUAGAAAAGGCUUGUGUGUCUCUUACUUCUCUUGUAUUUUUUUGGGAUUCAAUGAAUCAUUUCUUUAAGCAAAGAUCCUAAUUAGGCAUUUUGGUGUUGAUGAUAGGGUCAGGUUUAACGAAUAUGGUUUCUGCUCAGAGGAAAGCUUGACAUGCUUACAUAUCUAUUAUGGGGUCCAGAGUGGAUUUGAUGCUUUGAAAUGCCAAGGCGUACAUGGAACUUCAAGAGGAACUGGAUGGGUUGAUCACAGAGCAAAGAAUUUGAUAGGGGUCACAUUCAUUUUUUGCUGCUGCGAUAAGCAUCUCAAGUAUGGUAAGGUAUGUGAAUUGUCAUCUCAAGCUUCUUUUACGAUUCUAUCAUGUUAGGUAAAUUUUGGAGCCAAAUGCCUAAUUCAACUUCAAAUAUACAUGUUGACUCUAAUAUCUCUUUUCUCUAGUUUUACCUUCAAAAAACACUAGUAAAAAAAUCUAUCAUUUGUACCAUACCUCCUCUAAAUCUGAUUAACAAAUAAAUGCUCCCAAAAAAAUAUAAUCGAAUAGUCAAACUGACUACUAAUGAUGUUAUUCAUAGUUAAACUGACUUUACUAAUGUCAUUCACUAAUUUGACACUGUGGCUUCAAAGUGUUCAUCUUUUAGACAGACUAAAUUAUACAGUUUGAUUAUAGUUCAGUUAAAUCAGUUGUGUAUAUUAAUGUCAUAUCAUAGAAAUGAUGACUACAGUUUGGUGAUAAAAGUUAAUUAUGCUUGAAUAGUCAACAAUCCAAUAGUGGUUUUUAACAAAUAAUGUGAUAUUUAACAAGAAUUUGGUCUAUGCAAUACAUUAUCUGUCGAAUUGGCUGAUGUACAUGCAUGCUUCGACGAUGUUUCUAAUGUCUCUUAAAAUUUUACAACUGCGCAGGAACUGAUUAAUGCAAUCUGAAGGAGGGCCAUGACUUUGGGGAGCUGAUCACAGGUGGAAUGAACUGUUGAGCAAGAAUUGACCUUGACUACAGUAUGGUGAUUAAGUUAAUUAUGCUUGAAUAGUCAACAAUCCAAUAGUUGUUCUUAACAAAUUUUGUGAUAUUUAGCAAGAAUUUGUUCUUUUAAAUACAUUAUGUGUCGAAUUGUCUGCAGUACAUGCAUGCUUCGACGAUGUUUCUAAUGUGUCUUUCAAUUUUACAACUGCCCAGGAACUGAUUCAUGCAAUCUGGAGGCUCAUGACAUUGGGGUGCUGAUUCACAGGUGGAAUGAACUAUUGAGAGAGUAGAAGGUUACAGUAGUCUGAAGUGAUGAGCAUAAAGCUGAUUGACAGUAUCAGCUGGGUGAGUCUUCAGAGUCACAGAAACAUGAAUGAUUCAAAGGCAGGGGAGGAAGUAGAAGCAGUACAAAGGCAGUCUAGUCUAAGUUAGGUGACUGUUGUCUUGUAUUUCUUGUUAUUAUUCUUCUGAUGACCUGACGGUGCUUUGGCACGCUGAUCAGGAUUGUAUUUUGCUUUAUUUGGAGACUAAUAAUAUAUAUACUAUAUCAAAAUCAAAAAAUGAUUCAUGCAAUUAUCUUAGGAGUGAAUGCUCCUCUACGGCACAAUUAGGGUUUUCUCAGGA
Molecule: long non-coding RNA, 3175 nt
Filed under: Aquilegia coerulea
Lineage: Eukaryota; Viridiplantae; Streptophyta; Magnoliopsida; Ranunculales; Ranunculaceae
Description: long non-coding RNA (ACOE_LNC000721)
Source: RNAcentral